Long non-coding RNA from Cuculus canorus (common cuckoo), 511 nucleotides. RefSeq lists it as uncharacterized. The transcript is spliced from 4 exons. Lineage: Eukaryota; Metazoa; Chordata; Aves; Cuculiformes; Cuculidae. The record is from RefSeq and is a predicted model, not a curated record.
GUGAUACCAGGGCCAAGCAGGGUGCGAGGGUCAGCGCAGCCCGCCCCACUCCCUCUCCCGGUACGUCGCAGGGGUCUUGGGAGCGACACGCAGUGCUGGGGGGCUGCUCCCCAGCCUGAGGAGCGACAGUAGGUAUAUCUGGAUUUCUUUAACAACCACUUGAACUUCCUGCAGUACUUUGUUCCAGAUCCACCACUUGCUCCGACAAGCAUCAAUCACACACCAGUUCUGAUGCUCCUUCUUAUAACUCCUUGUAUGUCCCUCCAGUUUUAGUAACAAAAGAAGGGAUAACGAUGCAUCCAGCAAUGCUGCAUUCACACAGCACCACCUGCCUGACUUGCUCACCAACUUGAUGGUAUGGAAAAAUACUCAAGACGUGGAGGAAGAAGACGGUCAAGAACAUCACUUUCUUCUACUUGAAUAAAAACUGCAACAUCAGGACAGAGACCUCGUGUUGACAAAUACUGGGCUUCAUCUAAAUUACGAGGGAAACCGUCCAGUAUGAAUCCUG